GACCCCCAUCAGUUGUAAUGCUUGUCAUUACUGAGUUAAUUCUUAGCGGUGUACAGGCUGGCUCACAAGCAAGUCAUAGAUGAAAUUUCAUCUCACUAGACAUGCAACGCAUGCUAGUGCUUUUUCCUUCUCUUGCUCUCCGUACAUUUAUACUAGGGAAGAUUAAAACUUUGGUUGGGAAAUAUUGGGAUGGAGAUCAACGAUCACAAUAUGGUUGAGAAAGGCAAAGAUUUAUUAAUUUUUACCCAUUCCACUCCCUUAACGGAUGUCAUUAGAGCAGCAUUAAGGAAGGUGAUAAUAAUUUUUUUAUUUUAAUUCAGCUAUGGUAGAAGAGUUAAGAGGGGGAUUGGGGAAUCAUAAUUGCUAUCGAGAAAUGGUUUUUCAGUAGAAAAAAAGGCAUUUUUUAAAAAAAUAUUUAGUUGCCAUAAUUACUGAAGAAUCUAUAUAUUAAUGCCUUUCUCAACCAGGUUAUAGUAAGAAGAACAUGGAUCCUUUCCAAAUCCAUCAGCUAAGACAUGUAGUAAGAGAAGAUUGUUGUACCAAUAGAUAACUCUCAGAUGUGUCUUAGAUAUGCAGGUACACCGACUCUAUCUCAUUGUAAGUGGUCAUCAAUACAUCAUCAAAAAAGCCUAACCAGAUAAAAUACUGCGGAUGAGGGUGCUCUUCAACGGCUCCACGUUGACGCCGCAGGAUGCCCCCCACUCAGAUCAGGGGCACACUUUAUAGAAUGCUGCAGACGGGUGUGCUCUUCAACGGCUCCCUGUUGACGCCGCAGGGUGCCCCCCAUUCAGAUCAGGGGCGCACUUUAUAGAAUGCUGCGGAUGGGGGUGCUCUUCAACGGCUUUCCGUUGACGCCGCAGGGCGCUCCCUACUUAGAUCAGGGGUGCACUUUAUAGAAUGCUGCGGACGGGGGUGCUCUUUAAUGGCUCCUCGUUGACGCCGCAGGGCACCCCCCACUCAGAUCAGGGGUGCACUUUAUGAAUGGAUCCUGCGAUUGUGAGGCCCUUGGGCUCUCGAUCAAUGAUGCAAGGCGUCCCGAGCCGAGAUCGAGGGACGACUUUGUCGAUAAAUCCUGCAGUCGUGAGGCCUUUUGGCUCUCGAUCGAUGCUGCAAGACGUUCAGAACCGAGCUCGAGGGAUGACUUUAUCAAUUUACCAACAUAUAUCUCACGCCGUAGAGGCAACCAGAGUGUGUCGAACCGAUUAGGGUGUUUCAGAGAUGCUUUGAAAAGAUCCCAGAGGGUGACUUUAUUAAUUGACACAUUCUGGAAAUUUUAAAAAUCCUAACCUGGAGGGGCUAGGGUCCCAUUCGGGGGUUGUAGCUUACAUUCCGGGUCUUCGGGCCUGGACUAAUGGGGGCGCAAGCCUCGUCCUUGGCCCCCCAAAGCCAAAAAGGCCACUAGUGUGUAGAAUGUGGAGAGACAAUAUUGGUAUUGCCCGCACCGGAGCGAUUGUUGUCGAGCCCGUUGAAUAGCUUCGGACUUUGUCUGUUGAGCUCCAUUCUGUCGGCUUGAUCAUUGACAAAUCUACUCAGGAGGCCUUAAAGGACAAUCACUUCAAUUUUAUCACGGAGCUGGUAACAGUCCUCCGUGUCAUGACCGUGGUCUUUAUGGAAGCAGCAGUACCUGUCCAAGCACUUUCGCGAUGCUGACGGUCGCAUUUUUGGUGGAGUUCGGAGGUAGCCACGACCCUCGAUCUCCUUGAGAAUCUCUAUCCAGAAGGACGUAAGGGGAGUAUACUCCGCAAAGCUAAGGAUGGCGUACUUACCAGACCUCUGGAGGGAUCUGCUCCUCGACUGACGGCGCUUCUUGUGGCGCUCCACAAUUUGCCCCCGGAGCAUCUGGACUUGUUGCCCCACUUUCUCGACUUUUUUGUCGAGCUCGGCGAAGGAGGGGGCUCCUACUGGCUGAAAGCUUUGAACAACCAUGGUAAGAGCUUGGACUUUCUGGACGAGCAGAUGACACUGCUCUGGCUGGACUUGAAGAGUCUGGUCCGCUAGCACGGAAGCUGCAGGGGGUGGAUUUUUAAGGGAGUAGGAUGGCACUAACGCUUGGCCACUCGAUGCGUUCGGAGCUCCGUGACUCCUUAACCUCAUGAUCGCGACUCAGGCCCUUCCUCUAGUGCCAGAAAUGUUGUGGUUCAAAUCUGGCCAAGGGUGACCACGCCGGAGGAGUUGAGGGAGCUGCCGGAGUGGAGGAGAAGACGGGAAGAGCCACCUCCUGCGACCGGCAGUGUACCUGCAUAAAGCCUCAUCGGUGUUUUCCGGUAAGGACCCUCUAACGCUCAAGUUAAUAUGGAGUGUUGCAAAUUCAGCCAGAAGAGAUCCCCUAGGCAUUACCUUUUGGGGUCUUUUAUAGCCCUGAUAGGAGCGCUGAGGUUGCGGAGGUAUGGCUCGUCCUUAUUAUGAGAGGGAGUGGCGCGCAGCCUGGCGCAUGGUGGAGUCUAUUCUGGGGAAUCGCGAGACGUUGACAGCCGUAGCAGGGCAUUGACCGUUUUCAUCAUGAGUGAGAGUAGCGCGCUGCUUGGGCUUGCUUAUGGCACGUAGUGGAGUCCGUUCUUGGAAACGGUAAGAUGCCGCCUCCGGCAAUCCUAGGCUGGUAAUCGCAGCAUGGUGUGGCGUCGUCACAAUGCACGGCCAAAGAGGAGGGCGAAUGGAUGCACAUGGGCAUGGUGGUGAGCGAGGCCUAGCUUGUCGAGGCAACAUCUAGCAUUUGGCGAAGUUGGCUGGAUGGGUGCUGAGGUCAGCCCAACAUCCUGAAUUUGGAGGUGUGCUCGGUGGAGCGCCCCAAGCCCGAGGGUCGGGGCGCAUUGCUGAAGAAGGCGCCCGAGCUUGGUCGGGCGCGUCGAUGAAUAAGACAAGCGCACCGAGCUCGGCCGGGGCGCGUUGGCAAAUAAGGAGGGCGCCCCGAGCUUGGCCGGGGCACAUCGAUGAAUGAGAAGGGUGCCCCAGCUUGACCGGAGCACAUUGUCGAAUGAGGAGGGCGCCCCGAGCUUGCUGGGGUGCGUCGUCGAAUAAGGAGGGCACAUGGAGGAACUGUUGGUGAAGACCGAGGUUGGGCUGAUUCUAGGCCGGACUGAGGAUACGUCUGAUCGGCGUUGGUAUCUGUCGGGUCGAAAUUGGGCCACUUUUUGUUGUGGGCCGGAUGAUCUAUUUUGACUAGGGAUGGCAAUCGGGUCGGGUCGGACAUAAACAGAUCGGGUCAGAUGCAAGUCGGGUCAAAAAAUCAUAAACCUGAACCCGAUCGGUUUAUUAAACAGGUCAGAACAUUACCACCUGAACCUGACCUGUUUAUUAAACGGGUAACCCGAUCCGAUCCGUUUAACCCAUUUAAGAAACAAUUAACCCGUUUAACCCAACCCGACUCGUUUAACCCAACCCGACCCGCUUAACUAUUAGACUUAAAUUAGAUACUUAGUAUAUAAGCCAUAAUUUAUGAUAAAUCCACCAAUAUUAACACGGUCGAGCAAUUUUUUUAAAAAAUAAAUUUAACCAGAAAUUUUAAAAAAAAAGAAAGAAAACACGAAGAGGAACAGAGGAACAAGGGGAAGAGAAAUAUUAAGAGAUUACAAUUUUCUUAUUGGAAAAAAUAAAAGAAAAUGGAAUCGGGAGCCCUCAAAAUCUCUGAUCUAGGAUUAUAGGCACCAUCCCCAAAUCAUUUUCUCUCCGGAAAUCAUCGACGGCUUCGAUUCGGGUGAGGGAAAAAAAUCUGGAAGCCCUAGCUUUUGCUAUGAAUCAAACCAUAAAAAGUAAAAACCAAAUCAUUUCCCUCCACCGGCAUACCUGCUGCUGGACUCCGCAGUAGUCGUUGAUUUGAGGAAAAGAUAGAGCGCGCUCCCGUCCUCCGCCGCCACCGCCUCCGGCUUCAUUUCGGCGGUCUCCCCUUCCUUAACAUGCAAUCCCUGACCUUUCGAGGAGGAAAAAGGAGGGGGCGUCGAUGUAGCCGCGGGGGGCGUCGACGGGGUGAUGUAGCCGCGAUGAUCUCGUCCCGCGUGAGAGUGGGAUCGGCUGAUCGGGGGGCGUGAUGUAGCCGCGGUCGCCAUCGAUGGGGAGACGGAACUCGGAAUUUGUCGGCAAGGGGGAGGAGAGGGCGGAGGCGGAGGAGAGGAGAGGGGAGAGGGACGCGGAGGCGGAAGAGAGCUCGGGCGGCGGCGCAGCGCUUUGGACAAACCUUAACCCAGCAACCCUAACGAAAAGUAAUGUUUAAAGUUUAAACAGGCUAAGGGCUAAGGCUACUCCACUGAAGGCGAGUUGGGCUUCUCAGCUGCUGGCCGUGGCCCAUGCGGCGGAAGGUUGGGUUGGCCCUAGUUGGCUGGGCCUUGUGGGCUGUAACCCUUAUCUUCUAUCGGCCCAACAGUUAAACGGAUUAAACGGGUUAAAUGGGUCAGACAUCUAAAAUCCGUAUCCGACCCAAUUAAUAAACAGGUUAAACGGGUCAACCAGUUUACGAUCCGAACCUGUUUAGGCCAAAUCCAAACCUAUUUAUGGCGGGUCGAAUACGGGUCGGGUUGGCGGGUCGGGUCAAAUCUUGCCACCCCUAAUUUUGACCCCCAUCAGUUGUAAUGCUUGUCAUUACUGAGUUAGUUCUUAGCGGUGUACAGGCUGGCUCACAAGAAAGUCAUAGAUGAAAUUUCAUCUCACUAGACAACGCAUGCUACUGCUUGUUCCUUCUCUUGCUCUCCGUACAUUUAUACUAGGGAAGAUUAAAACUUUGGUUGGGAAAUAUUGGGAUGGAGAUCAACGAUCACAAUAUGGUUGAGAAAGGCAAAGAUUUAAAAUUUUUACCCAUUCCACUCCCCUAACGGAUGUCAUUAGAGCAGCAUUAAGGAAGGUGAUAAUAAUUUUUUUAUUUUUAAUUCAGCUAUGGUAGAAGAGUUAAGAGGGGGAUUGGGGAAUCAUAAUUGCUAUCGAGAAAUGGUUUUUCAGUAGAAAAAAAGGCAUUU
This 4940-nucleotide long non-coding RNA is filed under the name Phoenix dactylifera (date palm). Its description in RNAcentral is "long non-coding RNA (PDAC_LNC005906)". Lineage: Eukaryota; Viridiplantae; Streptophyta; Magnoliopsida; Arecales; Arecaceae. The record is from RNAcentral.